CUUUGCUGUGAGAACGUCAGGAUCUGGCUGCAGCACAGGGUCAGUGAGCGUGCAAAGACUUGGCAGAGGAAAACACGUGUGUUCGUGGAGACCUUUCAAUUAGGAACUGGGCGAGAAGGCAGAGGAAGAGAUGGGGAGGGUUCCCUGUAGCCCUGAGAGAUGAAGUGGCUUGACCAAGGACACAUUGGUAGUUCUUUUUUCUGUGCACCCGUCAGGUAGACCUGCUUUCUCGAGGAGCCGAUUUGAGGGGGUGAGGAGAACUACUCUUCAUUAGAUGAGAGGAGAGAAGCCAGAUAUUUGCAGCUGGAGUUGGCUAUGUGACUCCUGCCACCUGCUGCUGCUAAUUUGUUCCUGGGUCGACCAUCUGACCUUCUGCCCACGAAAUGAGACAGUGAAACACUCCUUCUGCCAACAGAGCUACAUGAAAACACAAAUUUUCACUUCAUCAAGUGAUCACCAUGCUUCAGUUUCUGACUCCGCCCAUGCUCCACCACCAGGCUCAGGUGUGCUCCUGGAAGUAUCACUCAUUCUUCCUCCCCAGGUUGGGCUAGGUGGGUGUGUGUGUGUGUGUUCAGUUGCUCAGUCUUGUCUGACUCUUGGCAACCCUAUGGACUGCAACCCACCAGGCUCCUCUGUCUCUGGGAUAUUCCAGGUAAGAAUACUGGAGUGGGUUGUCCUUUUCUCUUCCAAGAGAUUUUUCCAGCCCAGGGAUCGAACCUGUGUCUCCUGAGUCCCCUGUUUUGGCAGGUGGGUUCUUUACCACUGAGCCACCUAGGAAGCCAGGUUGGGCUAGAUGCCCAUAAGCAAACAUUCAACAUUCUGCUGUCAAAGUCUGUUUCCUGUGGCUCUCUCCCAUUAUUACCUGUGAGCACCUUGAGGGCUAGAACUGACUCUGAUAUUUGUUCGUCUUUGACUCUGCAGCACUAUUAGUGAAUCUCAUAGAUGCUUAUAUUUAGGAUUUGCUCAGCAUAGCAGAACAGAUUGAAAACAGACUUUCCUUGCUGAAGGGGCUGAAGGCUCAGAUGGCUAGAAUAACCAUCUGCAAAGAGUGCAUACAUCUCAGAAGUUGCUCAAGGUGAUUCCACAGAGAAACAAAGAAAUAUUAGAAUUGCUAUUAAAGGGUAUAACUGUUCUUUACCCCUUCACUUAAAUGAUUGUUUUGAAUAUGUUUUAUCAUAGAUACAAUUAUUGGUACAUUACAUGUAUAUCCAUGUAUUUAUGUGUGUGUAAUUGUAUUUGCAUUUAUAUAUGUUGAAACUACCUGUACAAAAUUUUUGUUUUGAAUGUAGGUUUAGGUUAUGGGUGCAAUUCCUUUGUGUGUCGGUCACGGACUAUUUCGAGGCUGCAGAAUGAUCCAGCAAUUGCACUUACGGUCAUAUAUCCUAAGGAAAUGAAGUCACCAUCUUGGACACAUACCUGCACUUUCAUGUCUAUUUCAGCAUUAUCUGGAAGAGUCAAGACAUGGAAACAACUUAAGUGUCUGUCGAUUGAAGAAUAAAUAAAGAAAAUAUGGUAUAUAUAUUUUUAAU
Long non-coding RNA from Bos indicus x Bos taurus (hybrid cattle), 1529 nucleotides. The record is from Ensembl. Lineage: Eukaryota; Metazoa; Chordata; Mammalia; Artiodactyla; Bovidae.